GACGAACGCUGGCGGCGUGCCUAACACAUGCAAGUCGAGCGACGAACCGGGGCUUGCCCCGGGGCAGAGCCGCGAACGGGUGAGUAACUCGUGGGUGACCUGCCUCGAUGACUGGGACAAACCGUCGCAAGAAGGGCUAAUUCCGGACGUGCCCCUUGGGGGAAAGGAAGCUUCGGACUUCGCAUCGGGUUGGGCCCGCGGCGCAUUAGCUUGUUGGUGGGGUAAUGGCUUACCAAGGCGACGAUGCGUAGCUGGUCUGAGAGGACGAUCAGCCACACUGGGACUGAGACACGGCCCAGACUCCUACGGGAGGCAGCAGUGGGGAAUCUUGCACAAUGGGCGAAAGCGUGAUGCAGCAACGCCGCGUGCGUGAAGAAGGCCUUAGGAUUGUAAACCGCUUUCAGUUGGGACGAGGCUUCGUUCAAGAAUAGCGGUUUAGAGUGACGGUACCUUCAGAGAAAGCGCCGGCUAACUACGUG
This 479-nucleotide ribosomal RNA is filed under the name uncultured bacterium. RNAcentral describes it as "partial 16S ribosomal RNA". It matches the Rfam family "Bacterial small subunit ribosomal RNA", at positions 28 to 507 of the family's 1533-position model. The record is from RNAcentral.